UCAGUGUGGAAAACACAGGACUUGGCAAUC
This 30-nucleotide non-coding RNA is filed under the name Homo sapiens (human). The record is from RNAcentral. Lineage: Eukaryota; Metazoa; Chordata; Mammalia; Primates; Hominidae.